RNAcentral lists this ribosomal RNA (679 nucleotides) under uncultured bacterium. Its description in RNAcentral is "bacterial SSU rRNA". It matches the Rfam family "Bacterial small subunit ribosomal RNA", at positions 153 to 847 of the family's 1533-position model. The record is from RNAcentral.
GAAAAGAAUGCUAAUACCGCAUAAUAUAUAUUUAUCGCAUGGUAGAUAUAUCAAAGAUUUAUCGCUUAGAGAUGGACUCGCGUCCGAUUAGUUAGUUGGUGAGGUAACGGCUCACCAAGACCGCGAUCGGUAGCCGGACUGAGAGGUUGAACGGCCACAUUGGGACUGAGACACGGCCCAGACUCCUACGGGAGGCAGCAGUGGGGGAUAUUGCGCAAUGGGGGAAACCCUGACGCAGCAACGCCGCGUGAAGGAUGAAGGUCUUCGGAUUGUAAACUUCUUUUAUUAAGGACGAAGAAAGUGACGGUACUUAAUGAAUAAGCUCCGGCUAACUACGUGCCAGCAGCCGCGGUAAUACGUAGGGAGCAAGCGUUGUCCGGAUUUACUGGGUGUAAAGGGUGCGUAGGCGGCUUUGCAAGUCAGAUGUGAAAUCUAUGGGCUCAACCCAUAGCCUGCAUUUGAAACUGCAGAGCUUGAGUGAAGUAGAGGCAGGCGGAAUUCCCCGUGUAGCGGUGAAAUGCGUAGAGAUGGGGAGGAACACCAGUGGCGAAGGCGGCCUGCUGGGCUUUAACUGACGCUGAGGCACGAAAGCGUGGGUAGCAAACAGGAUUAGAUACCCUGGUAGUCCACGCUGUAAACCCUUAAUGGUAGGUGUGGGGGGUCUGACCCCUUCCGUGCC